This 571-nucleotide ribosomal RNA is filed under the name uncultured soil bacterium. RNAcentral's name for it is "bacterial SSU rRNA". It matches the Rfam family "Bacterial small subunit ribosomal RNA", at positions 8 to 582 of the family's 1533-position model. The record is from RNAcentral.
AGAGUUUGAUCCUGGCUCAGAGUUAACGCUGGCAGCGUGCAUAACACAUGCAAGUCGAGCGGGCUUUGGCGGGGUAUCGCUAGAGCUAGCGGCAGACGAGUGAGUAACACGUAAGAAAUCUACCCCAAAAUAGGGAACAACCUGCUGAAAGGCGGGCUAAUGCCCUAUAUAAUCCUGGAAUGGCAUCAUCCCGGGAUGAAAGGCGUAAGCCGGCUUGGGAGGAUCUUGCGGCCUAUCAGCUAGUUGGUGGGGUAACGGCCCACCAAGGCUAUGACGGGUAGCCGGCCUGAAAGGGCGAUCGGCCACGGAGGCGCUGAGAAACGGGCCUCACUCCUACGGGAGGCAGCAGUGGGGAAUUUUGGACAAUGGGGGAAACCCUGAUCCAGCAACGCUGCGUGAAGGACGAAGGUCUUCGGAUUGUAAACUUCUUUUGUUCGGGACGAAAGCCCGCAAGGGUUUGACGGUACCGGAUGAAUAAGCCACGGCUAACUACGUGCCAGCAGCCGCGGUAAGACGUAGGUGGCGAGCGUUACUCGGAAUCACUAGGCGUAAAGCGCGUGUAGGCGGGUGC